Molecule: ribosomal RNA, 449 nt
Filed under: uncultured bacterium
Lineage: Bacteria
Description: bacterial SSU rRNA
Rfam family: Bacterial small subunit ribosomal RNA
Source: RNAcentral
UAGUCCACGCCGUGAACGAUGUUCACUCGCUGUUGGCGAUAUAUUGUCAGUGGCUAAGCGAAAGUGAUAAGUGAACCACCUGGGGAGUACGUUGGCAACAAUGAAACUCAAAGGAAUUGACGGGGGCCCGCACAAGCGGUGGAGCAUGUGGUUUAAUUCGAAGCAACGCGAAGAACCUUACCAAGUCUUGACACCCCAUUGACCGCUUCGUAAUGGAAGUUUCCUCUUCGGAGGCAAUGGUGACAGGUGGUGCAUGGUUGUCGUCAGCUCGUGUCGUGAGAUGUUGGGUUAAGUCCCGCAACGAGCGCAACCCUUAUCUCUAGUAGCCAGCAAUACGGUUGGGGACUCUAGAGAGACUGCCGGGGAUAACUCGGAGGAAGGUGGGGAUGACGUCAAAUCAUCAUGCCCCUUAUGACUUGGGGCUACACACGUGCUACAAUGGUGGUGAC